AUUGAACGCUGGCGGCAUGCUUUACACAUGCAAGUCGAACGGUAACAGGCCGCAAGGUGCUGACGAGUGGCGAACGGGUGAGUAAUGCAUCGGAACGUGCCCAGUCGUGGGGGAUAACGCAGCGAAAGCUGUGCUAAUACCGCAUACGAUCUAUGGAUGAAAGCGGGGGACCGUAAGGCCUCGCGCGAUUGGAGCGGCCGAUGUCAGAUUAGGUAGUUGGUGGGGUAAAGGCCCACCAAGCCAACGAUCUGUAGCUGGUCUGAGAGGACGACCAGCCACACUGGGACUGAGACACGGCCCAGACUCCUACGGGAGGCAGCAGUGGGGAAUUUUGGACAAUGGGCGCAAGCCUGAUCCAGCAAUGCCGCGUGCAGGAAGAAGGCCUUCGGGUUGUAAACUGCUUUUGUACGGAACGAAAAGGUCUGGGUUAAUACCCUGGGCUGAUGACGGUACCGUAAGAAUAAGCACCGGCUAACUACGUGCCAGCCGCCGCGGUAA
Molecule: ribosomal RNA, 498 nt
Filed under: uncultured bacterium
Lineage: Bacteria
Description: partial 16S ribosomal RNA
Rfam family: Bacterial small subunit ribosomal RNA
Source: RNAcentral